RNAcentral lists this ribosomal RNA (497 nucleotides) under uncultured bacterium. RNAcentral describes it as "partial 16S ribosomal RNA". It matches the Rfam family "Bacterial small subunit ribosomal RNA", at positions 28 to 507 of the family's 1533-position model. The record is from RNAcentral.
GAUGAACGCUGGCGGCGUGCCUAAUACAUGCAAGUCGAGCGAACAGACGAGGAGCUUGCUCCUCUGACGGUAUCGGCGGACGGGUGAGUAACACGUGGAUAACCUACCUAUAAGACUGGGAUAACUUCGGGAAACCGGAGCUAAGACCGGAUAAUAUAUUGAACCGCAUGGGUCAAGAGUUGAAGACGGUUUUGCGUUGACUUAUAGAUUAAUCAGCCCCGCAUUCGCUAGUUGGUAAGGUAACUGCUUACCAAGGCAGCGACGCGUAGCCGACCCGAGAGGGUGAUCGGCCACACUGGAACUGAGACACGGCCGAGACUCCUAGAGGAGGCCGCGGUCGGGAAUCUUCCGCAAUGGGCGAGAGCCUGACGGAGGAACGCGGCGUGAGUGAUGAAGGUCUUCGGCUCGUAAAACUCUGUUAUUAGGGAAGAACAAAUGUGUAAGUAACUAUGCACGUAUUGACGGUACCUGGUCAGAAAGCCACGGCUAACUACGUG